RNAcentral lists this ribosomal RNA (425 nucleotides) under bacterium. RNAcentral's name for it is "partial 16S ribosomal RNA". It matches the Rfam family "Bacterial small subunit ribosomal RNA", at positions 355 to 776 of the family's 1533-position model. The record is from RNAcentral.
UGGGGAAUAUUGCACAAUGGGCGCAAGCCUGAUGCAGCGACGCCGCGUGAGGGAUGGAGGCCUUCGGGUUGUAAACCUCUUUCGCCAGUGAAGCAGGCCAUCUUCUUUGUGGGGUGGUUGACGGUAGCUGGAUAAGAAGCGCCGGCUAACUACGUGCCAGCAGCCGCGGUAAUACGUAGGGCGCGAGCGUUGUCCGGAAUUAUUGGGCGUAAAGAGCUCGUAGGCGGCUGGUCGCGUCUGUCGUGAAAUCCCCUGGCUUAACUGGGGGCUUGCGGUGGGUACGGGCCGGCUUGAGUGCGGUAGGGGAGACUGGAAUUCCUGGUGUGGCGGUGGAAUGCGCAGAUAUCAGGAGGAACGCCGGUGGCGAAGGCGGGUCUCUGGGCCGUUACUGACGCUGAGGAGCGAAAGCGUGGGGAGCGAACAGG